GGGGGGGGGGGGGGGGGGGCGGGGGGGGGGGAGGGGGGGCGGAGAGGCGCCUGCUGGCAGGGGUACUCGAGUGGCGAACGGGUGAGUAACACGUGGGUGAUCUGCCCUGCACUUCGGGAUAAGCCUGGGAAACUGGGUCUAAUACCGGAUAGGACCACAUUUUGGAUGGUGUGGUGGAAAGUUUUUCGGUGUGGGAUGAGCUCGCGGCCUAUCAGCUUGUUGGUGGGGUAAUGGCCUACCAAGGCGUCGACGGGUAGCCGGCCUGAGAGGGUGUACGGCCACAUUGGGACUGAGAUACGGCCCAGACUCCUACGGGAGGCAGCAGUGGGGAAUAUUGCACAAUGGGCGCAAGCCUGAUGCAGCGACGCCGCGUGGGGGAUGACGGCCUUCGGGUUGUAAACUCCUUUCGCUAGGGACGAAGCGCAAGUGACGGUACCUGGAGAAGAAGCACCGGCUAACUACGUG
This 465-nucleotide ribosomal RNA is filed under the name uncultured bacterium. RNAcentral's name for it is "partial 16S ribosomal RNA". It matches the Rfam family "Bacterial small subunit ribosomal RNA", at positions 38 to 507 of the family's 1533-position model. The record is from RNAcentral.